GGGUUGUGAGGUUAAGCGACUAAGCGUACACGGUGGAUGCCCUGGCAGUCAGAGGCGAUGAAGGACGUGCUAAUCUGCGAUAAGCGUCGGUAAGGUGAUAUGAACCGUUAUAACCGGCGAUUUCCGAAUGGGGAAACCCAGUGUGAUUCGUCACACUAUCAUUAACUGAAUCCAUAGGUUAAUGAGGCGAACCGGGGGAACUGAAACAUCUAAGUACCCCGAGGAAAAGAAAUCAACCGAGAUUCCCCCAGUAGCGGCGAGCGAACGGGGAGCAGCCCAGAGCCUGAAUCAGUGUGUGUGUUAGUGGAAGCGUCUGGAAAGGCGCGCGAUACAGGGUGACAGCCCCGUACACAAAAAUGCACAUGCUGUGAGCUCGAUGAGUAGGGCGGGACACGUGGUAUCCUGUCUGAAUAUGGGGGGACCAUCCUCCAAGGCUAAAUACUCCUGACUGACCGAUAGUGAACCAGUACCGUGAGGGAAAGGCGAAAAGAACCCCGGCGAGGGGAGUGAAAAAGAACCUGAAACCGUGUACGUACAAGCAGUGGGAGCACGCUUAGGCGUGUGACUGCGUACCUUUUGUAUAAUGGGUCAGCGACUUAUAUUCUGUAGCAAGGUUAACCGAAUAGGGGAGCCGAAGGGAAACCGAGUCUUAACUGGGCGUUAAGUUGCAGGGUAUAGACCCGAAACCCGGUGAUCUAGCCAUGGGCAGGUUGAAGGUUGGGUAACACUAACUGGAGGACCGAACCGACUAAUGUUGAAAAAUUAGCGGAUGACUUGUGGCUGGGGGUGAAAGGCCAAUCAAACCGGGAGAUAGCUGGUUCUCCCCGAAAGCUAUUUAGGUAGCGCCUCGUGAAUUCAUCUCCGGGGGUAGAGCACUGUUUCGGCAAGGGGGUCAUCCCGACUUACCAACCCGAUGCAAACUGCGAAUACCGGAGAAUGUUAUCACGGGAGACACACGGCGGGUGCUAACGUCCGUCGUGAAGAGGGAAACAACCCAGACCGCCAGCUAAGGUCCCAAAGUCAUGGUUAAGUGGGAAACGAUGUGGGAAGGCCCAGACAGCCAGGAUGUUGGCUUAGAAGCAGCCAUCAUUUAAAGAAAGCGUAAUAGCUCACUGGUCGAGUCGGCCUGCGCGGAAGAUGUAACGGGGCUAAACCAUGCACCGAAGCUGCGGCAGCGACGCUGAUGCGUUGUUGGGUAGGGGAGCGUUCUGUAAGCCUGCGAAGGUGUGCUGUGAGGCAUGCUGGAGGUAUCAGAAGUGCGAAUGCUGACAUAAGUAACGAUAAAGCGGGUGAAAAGCCCGCUCGCCGGAAGACCAAGGGUUCCUGUCCAACGUUAAUCGGGGCAGGGUGAGUCGACCCCUAAGGCGAGGCCGAAAGGCGUAGUCGAUGGGAAACAGGUUAAUAUUCCUGUACUUGGUGUUACUGCGAAGGGGGGACGGAGAAGGCUAUGUUGGCCGGGCGACGGUUGUCCCGGUUUAAGCGUGUAGGCUGGUUUUCCAGGCAAAUCCGGAAAAUCAAGGCUGAGGCGUGAUGACGAGGCACUACGGUGCUGAAGCAACAAAUGCCCUGCUUCCAGGAAAAGCCUCUAAGCAUCAGGUAACAUCAAAUCGUACCCCAAACCGACACAGGUGGUCAGGUAGAGAAUACCAAGGCGCUUGAGAGAACUCGGGUGAAGGAACUAGGCAAAAUGGUGCCGUAACUUCGGGAGAAGGCACGCUGAUAUGUAGGUGAAGUCCCUCGCGGAUGGAGCUGAAAUCAGUCGAAGAUACCAGCUGGCUGCAACUGUUUAUUAAAAACACAGCACUGUGCAAACACGAAAGUGGACGUAUACGGUGUGACGCCUGCCCGGUGCCGGAAGGUUAAUUGAUGGGGUCAGCGCAAGCGAAGCUCUUGAUCGAAGCCCCGGUAAACGGCGGCCGUAACUAUAACGGUCCUAAGGUAGCGAAAUUCCUUGUCGGGUAAGUUCCGACCUGCACGAAUGGCGUAAUGAUGGCCAGGCUGUCUCCACCCGAGACUCAGUGAAAUUGAACUCGCUGUGAAGAUGCAGUGUACCCGCGGCAAGACGGAAAGACCCCGUGAACCUUUACUAUAGCUUGACACUGAACAUUGAGCCUUGAUGUGUAGGAUAGGUGGGAGGCUUUGAAGUGUGGACGCCAGUCUGCAUGGAGCCGACCUUGAAAUACCACCCUUUAAUGUUUGAUGUUCUAACGUUGACCCGUGAUCCGGGUUGCGGACAGUGUCUGGUGGGUAGUUUGACUGGGGCGGUCUCCUCCUAAAGAGUAACGGAGGAGCACGAAGGUUGGCUAAUCCUGGUCGGACAUCAGGAGGUUAGUGCAAUGGCAUAAGCCAGCUUGACUGCGAGCGUGACGGCGCGAGCAGGUGCGAAAGCAGGUCAUAGUGAUCCGGUGGUUCUGAAUGGAAGGGCCAUCGCUCAACGGAUAAAAGGUACUCCGGGGAUAACAGGCUGAUACCGCCCAAGAGUUCAUAUCGACGGCGGUGUUUGGCACCUCGAUGUCGGCUCAUCACAUCCUGGGGCUGAAGUAGGUCCCAAGGGUAUGGCUGUUCGCCAUUUAAAGUGGUACGCGAGCUGGGUUUAGAACGUCGUGAGACAGUUCGGUCCCUAUCUGCCGUGGGCGCUGGAGAACUGAGGGGGGCUGCUCCUAGUACGAGAGGACCGGAGUGGACGCAUCACUGGUGUUCGGGUUGUCAUGCCAAUGGCACUGCCCGGUAGCUAAAUGCGGAAGAGAUAAGUGCUGAAAGCAUCUAAGCACGAAACUUGCCCCGAGAUGAGUUCUCCCUGACUCCUUGAGAGUACUGAAGGAACGUUGAAGACGACGACGUUGAUAGGCCGGGUGUGUAAGCGCAGCGAUGCGUUGAGCU
Molecule: ribosomal RNA, 2880 nt
Filed under: Escherichia coli
Lineage: Bacteria; Pseudomonadati; Pseudomonadota; Gammaproteobacteria; Enterobacterales; Enterobacteriaceae
Description: bacterial LSU rRNA
Rfam family: Bacterial large subunit ribosomal RNA
Source: RNAcentral